This 199-nucleotide non-coding RNA is filed under the name Bacillota bacterium. RNAcentral's name for it is "Firmicutes bacterium T-box sequence". It matches the Rfam family "T-box leader". Rfam says of the family: Uncharged tRNA acts as the effector for transcription antitermination of genes in the T-box leader family. T-boxes are found upstream of many aminoacyl-tRNA synthetase genes and some amino acid biosynthetic genes usually in Gram-positive bacteria. Lineage: Bacteria; Bacillati; Bacillota. The record is from RNAcentral.
UUAAAACAAAGGAAAGAGACGGUAUAGUAAAAUAGUUGUAGAGAGCUAAUGGUUGGUGAAAAUUAGUAUGAUAGUUACUAUAUAGAUCACUCUUGAUGUGUUUUUCUGAAUAUUUUAAGAAAAACCGGAAGUAAAUUCCGUUAUCAAAAAGAGAGCACUUAAGUGAAGUAAGGUGGUACCGCGGUUAUUCGUCCUUAUA